This 930-nucleotide ribosomal RNA is filed under the name Palaemon vietnamicus. RNAcentral describes it as "eukaryotic LSU rRNA". It matches the Rfam family "Eukaryotic large subunit ribosomal RNA", at positions 378 to 1158 of the family's 3401-position model. The record is from RNAcentral. Lineage: Eukaryota; Metazoa; Arthropoda; Malacostraca; Decapoda; Palaemonidae.
GAAGAGAGAGUUCAAGAGUACGUGAAACCAUUAGAAGCUCAAAUGGGUGGAACUCUGAAGGUCGAAAGAUGGGAUUCAGCUGGCGGGGCGCAGGCGGCAACCAUGGUUCAAGUUGUUUUUCAGUGAGAGGACCGGGCGACGGGCCCUGCGGUUGACGUGCCACGGCCUGCAGGGUUAUUUCUCCCAUGAGUAGAGUUGGUGGCGAUCAGCUGCUUAGACUCCGAGGGCCGUUUCGGACCGGUAGCCCCCGCCUUGGCGCGGGUGAUGACCGACGACGGUACUGACCGGGCCCGAGAGGCGGUCACUGCAAGGAGGCCGUGGAGUGAAGAAUGCAGCCUCUCGUCACCUGAGAGUGAUUGGUAAUCCACCCGACCCAUCUUGAAUCACGGACCAAGGAGUCCAACAUGUGCGCUUGUCUAAGGGUGAUCUAAAUCCUGGGCUGGUACCAGCGGUGCCUGGGCAGGAGUUAGGACGCAGGCUGAGGACUUGAAGUAGUGCGGCCAGGGGCACGGGGGGCUCUCGGGCUCCCUCAACCCGUGGUCGGCCGCCAAGUACCUGAGAGCGCAGCCGUUGGGACCCGAAAGAUGGUGAACUAUGCCUGGCGAGGACGAAGCCAGAGGAAACAAUGGUGGAGGUCCGAAGCAGUUCUGACGUGAAAAUCGAUUGUCAGAGCUGGGUAUAGGGGCGAAAGACUAAUCGAACCAUCUAGUGGCUGGUUCCCUCCGAAGUUUCCCUCAGGAUAGCUGGCAUUUGGAGAGGUAAGUUUCAUCCGGUAAAGCGAAUGAUUAGAGGCCUUGGUGGUGCAAUGCCGUCAACCUAUUCUCAAACUUUAAAUGGGUGAGACGUGGAGCUUGCUUGAGAUGUGAAGCUCAAUGAUGCAAAGAAUCAGAGUGCCUAGUGGGCCACUUUUGGUAAGCAGAACUGGCGCUG